GACGAACCGAGCGAACGUUGUUCGGAAUCACUGGGCUUAAAGGGCGCGUAGGCGGGUUCUCAAGUCCGGGGUGAAAUCCCACAGCUUAACUGUGGAACUGCCUCGGAUACUGGGUGCCUCGAGGGUGGUAGGGGUAUGCGGAACUAUCGGUGGAGCGGUGAAAUGCGUUGAUAUCGAUAGGAACUCCGGUGGCGAAGGCGGCAUACUGGACCGGCAUUGACGCUGAAGCGCGAAAGCUAGGGGAGCAAACGGG
Molecule: ribosomal RNA, 253 nt
Filed under: uncultured bacterium
Lineage: Bacteria
Description: partial 16S ribosomal RNA
Rfam family: Bacterial small subunit ribosomal RNA
Source: RNAcentral